UGAACGCUGGCGGCGUGCCUACUACAUGCAAGUCGAGCGAACAGACGAGGAGCUUGCUCCUCUGACGUUAGCGGCGGACGGGUGAGUAACACGUGGAUAACCUACCUAUAAGACUGGGAUAACUUCGGGAAACCGGAGCUAAUACCGGAUAAUAUAUUGAACCGCAUGGUUCAAUAGUGAAAGACGGUUUUGCUGUCACUUAUAGAUGGAUCCGCGCCGUAUUAGCUAGUUGGUAAGGUAACGGCUUACCAAGGCGACGAUGCGUAGCCGACCUGAGAGGGUGAUCGGCCACACUGGAACUGAGACACGGUCCAGACUCCUACGGGAGGCAGCAGUAGGGAAUCUUCCGCAAUGGGCGAAAGCCUGACGGAGCAACGCCGCGUGAGUGAUGAAGGUCUUCGGAUCGUAAAACUCUGUUAUUAGGGAAGAACAAAUGUGUAAGUAACUAUGCACGUCUUGACGGUACCUAAUCAGAAAGCCACGGCUAACUACGUG
Molecule: ribosomal RNA, 495 nt
Filed under: uncultured bacterium
Lineage: Bacteria
Description: partial 16S ribosomal RNA
Rfam family: Bacterial small subunit ribosomal RNA
Source: RNAcentral